Molecule: long non-coding RNA, 826 nt
Filed under: Olea europaea subsp. europaea
Lineage: Eukaryota; Viridiplantae; Streptophyta; Magnoliopsida; Lamiales; Oleaceae
Source: RNAcentral
UCCCAUCCCACCACGAAUGGGGCAAACAAUACCCAUCUCGACGGGUUGAUUGGGCUGGGCGUAAGUCAUCGCUCCGUCUUGGGUCUCAGCCACAAUUUUCCCAUCCCACCAAACAAUCCGCAAUCUCUAUACUCUAACCCAAACGGCCAUACCCUUCAUCUCCUCCCAUAACCUUAAUCCACAUCCUGUGAUUCUCAUCGUUGGCACCACCAUUUGUUUGCAGCCUAUUCAUCUAUCGAUCACACUACACACGGUCCACAGUCAAUUCAAUCUACUCCCUUCGAUCUACAGGCGGUUCCACACCCGCAGGCCCAAACUUCAUUUCAUAAACCCAAAGGUUCAAUUCUCCAAUUCCCAAACCUAAAACUGUGAUUCUUGUGUGGUUGUUAAGUAUAAUUUACUGUGAAAUUCAUAGACAAAAGAGAAAAACAUAGAGAAUCUACUUUUUUCAUUUUUUUGGUGAGUUGUUACUUAUUCACAAUUUUCCACUGUCUACUUUAAGCUCUAAAAUAUUCAUAAUUUUUAAGAGAAUCGAUUGUGAGGUUGAGUGCAUUUUAUUAUUAUAUGAAGUUGCUUUGCACUGACGUUUUGGAAUCUUCUACAUGGUACUAUCUUUCGUUUAUACCUUUUCGUGCUUUUUUUAACAUACUUAUUGAUGUAGAUGUAUAUUCUCUCUUGGCUAUUUAAUUGAAACGAUUGAUUUACUAGAUUAAAGAUGUCUUCUGUGGUGGUGCAAGUUUGUUUGUGUUUCAAAGUGUUGAGUGUAUUUAAAUAUGUGGAUUGAAUCUUUAUAGGAAAGCAUUUGUGUGGUUAACAUGUGAUGUGG